UAUUAUAUCUCUAUUUUUGUUUUUUGUAUAAACUGCCCAGAGUAAACAUGUUCUAGAUGGGCUGUAUAUAAUUCAGAUAGAUAGAUAGAUAGAUAGAUAGAUAGAUAGAUAGAUAGAUAGAUGUUGUAAACCACCCAAAGUGGCCUUGGAUGCCAGAUGGUGGGUAUACAAAUCAAAUACCAUAUUUUUCCAUGUUUAACACAGCCCUGUUUAUAAAGAACGCCCCUACACACACACACUUUUUAAAUCCAAAUAUUAAGAAAACUUAGCUUUGAGGAUUGAGCCUCUGGGCUUAGAAUGGACAGACAUUUUGAGUCCCUGUUGAAUCUGAGCCUACAGGCUCCACCAACAAGGUGUGUUCCAAUUGGUUUGUACAGCAUCAGCUGACAUCAGUUCCAUAAAGCUCGUGACAGGAGGAAGCUAAGCCUCGUGGCUGAAGGAAGCUUGUUUACAGAGGCAAGGUAUGUGCCAUUUUGUUCUCUCCUCAGCUAUCUCAGCUUACUUCCAUGUAAAAGACACCCCUCAAAUUUUAGUGUAAUGAUUUUAGAAAAAAAUAGCAUCUUAUACAAGGAAAAUAUGAUUGUUUGUUAUAAAUAAAUAAAUAAAUAAAGGGAAACAGAAAUGAAAGGGAAAAGUGGAAACCUUUAAAUGAGUUAUUGCCUAGAAUUUCAUAAACACAUGAAAACAAUUAAGCCUAUGGUCUAGGUUGGAAUGAAUCAAUUGUUAACAGUAGUUCAUUUCCAAUCUUUUCAGCUGAUUAGAUGUUUGUCUAAGCUCCAGAAAUGGGGAUGAUGAGGCUCUGAAGAGAUUAAGUAUCUGACAGCUGGACUAGCCAAGGCUGGGAGAAAGAACUACUCAAGGAGGGAAAGAAGGAAUGAAAGUGAGCAAGAAAGCCGGACAAGAAGCUACCAAAUCAGCUUUCCAUGUUUCUGCAAAACCAUAAGUAUGACACAUAUUCACAUACUUUCUCCAGUGAAUGCUUAUUGUUCUCACUUCCACACUCUGGAGCCCUAUUCAAGUGUUCUAAAUAGCAUGCUGUGACCAUCCUUGGGAGAAGCAUCCAUCCCUAAUAGAGAUGGGCAUGAACCAGCACAGUGACAGGUUGUGAUAGUUUGUGGCUCGUCAAUGUCAAUGAACCA
Molecule: long non-coding RNA, 1139 nt
Filed under: Pogona vitticeps (central bearded dragon)
Lineage: Eukaryota; Metazoa; Chordata; Lepidosauria; Squamata; Agamidae
Description: lncRNA (ENSPVIG00000000026.1)
Source: RNAcentral